UGAAGCUUCACAACUUACAGCAGGGAGAAGCAGGCGAGGCUGCCAAGGGUCACGGAAGGAUGGUGGCUCCAUCCAUCUCAGCAGCUUCCAGAGUAGCUCGUGGAAAGCUACAGCAUCACACCCUCGACUGCAGCAUCCACAACCACUGGGUACAAAGCAGCCUCAUGGUUGCCAACAGACUGAAGUGCUCGCCUUGCUAUGGGAUAAGUGUCAUCAGCACUCUGGAGAAGCAGCCAUAGCUGCUCUCAAGAACCUUGGUGGGGAAGAAGAGACAUGCAGUUGCACAGAAGAAACAGGAACUGUU
This 304-nucleotide long non-coding RNA is filed under the name Parus major (Great Tit). RNAcentral describes it as "lncRNA (ENSPMJG00000014207.1)". Lineage: Eukaryota; Metazoa; Chordata; Aves; Passeriformes; Paridae. The record is from RNAcentral.